UACGGAGGGUGCGAGCGUUGUCCGGAUUCACUGGGCGUAAAGCGCGCGCAGGCGGUCUUCUACGUCUGGGGGUGAAAACCCCGGGGCUCAACCCCGGGGACUGCCUUGGAUACGGGAAGACUUGAGGAUCGGAGAGGCAAGGGGGAAUUCCACGUGUAGCGGUGAAAUGCGUAGAGAUGUGGAGGAACACCUGUGGCGAAGGCGCCUUGCUGGCCGAUUUCUGACGCUGAGGCGCGAAAGCGUGGGGAGCAAACAGG
This 257-nucleotide ribosomal RNA is filed under the name uncultured bacterium. RNAcentral's name for it is "partial 16S ribosomal RNA". It matches the Rfam family "Bacterial small subunit ribosomal RNA", at positions 524 to 776 of the family's 1533-position model. The record is from RNAcentral.